RNAcentral lists this long non-coding RNA (2399 nucleotides) under Anas platyrhynchos platyrhynchos (common mallard). Its description in RNAcentral is "lncRNA (ENSAPLG00000019613.1)". The record is from RNAcentral. Lineage: Eukaryota; Metazoa; Chordata; Aves; Anseriformes; Anatidae.
UUUACCCUUCAUAAAGCAACUGAGAGGCAAAAAUCUCCUGUACCUCCCCUUCCACUGUGGGGAAACCCAUGCAGAGCAAACCACAGCGAGCUACCGCCCCUGCUGUGGGUCAGCCCAGGGAAAUCUUUCUGAAAAUGACCUGACCAGAUGUAGUCUAGGGGGUCUGUGGCAUGCUUAAAUCUGUGGUCACAAAUGUGCCCACACAGAACUGCAGUAACAGGUAAGCAUAAAGGGGCAAGCUUUGGUUUGAUCUGGGAAAUGUACAUGCCACACGCACUUGCCAAGGUGAUGUUAAACUACAUUAUUUCUCUGCUAAAACACAGGAGUUAGGACUUCUAAAACACAUGUUUUUUCCCUCUAGGACAGGCACAGCUUCAAGCAAAACAGCCCUUUUCCUCCAAAAGUGUUUCUGAGCUCAGCUGCUGUUCCAAAGAAAAACACAUGAAGCCAGAGAGCAACACACGAAAAAACAAAAACUGAAACUCCCUUUGCUGGGGGAGGAGAAACCAUUUUGCUUCUAAACUUUCCCUGGCUGGGAUUUUUCUUUAGGGAAACUUUGAACUGGGCCGUACUUUCCGUUCUAACUUCAAAUACCUCAUGUGGUUUCAAAGAACAUGCCUGUGAUUUCCAGAGCCCUGGAAGCUACCCUGAGCUUCUCUCCACUGGAGUUUGGUGGAAGUCAUGGGACUGGCAUGGAUGUGGGAGAGAGGAGGCAAUGACUGCCUGUCAGGCUUCUCUGUGACAAAUAGAUCCACAUCUGUGAUCUUUGCAGGGCCCUCAGAAACUGCAGGGCUGUAUAAGUGGAAGUUUAUCGUUAAACAUGUUGUUCUGUGGGCCUAAUGAGAUCUGCUUUCCUACAGAUGUGCCCUAUUGCCUCUUCCUCCCCUUCCCUCUCCGUAUCACUCCCUACACCAACGGGAAGCCCUGGACCUCGCUGAGCAAGGAGCACCAUCUGCUCUGUGUGCCAGAUGGUGCCUGUGUUGCUGGGACUAGGGACAUCUUGGACCACGGUUUGCAGAUGUGGGUGGACUCUCCACUGCUUACCUUCCAGAUGGGAUCAUCCUGGCAGCCUGCCCCAGGAGGUAAGGAGCAGAUUUCCACCUGCUGUCUCUAGUGAAUCUUGCAAGAGCUGUCCCCACACAAUCCCAGCCUUGCAGAGCUCCUUCUUGGACUUUGCAUGUCCUUGCCACUCCUGGCCAUGCACUGUUUUAGCAGAGAUCUAACAUUCAACUGGUUUGUCCCCAAAUCAUGCUGUAGGAAUACCUACUCCUGCUGGUACUCCUCUCUCUUUUCCUUUCCCUGUAUGUCCUGACUGGACAUACAUGCUAUGGGACUUCUUACGUCAGAAGAAAAUGAAGGAUACUAGUGGGGCACUCCUAGCUGAUCCCAUGGCCCCCCAGGAGCAUAGAUCAGGAAAUCCUCCUGGGAGCAAGGGCAUGGGUAUUUCACAGGGGGCCCUGAUCACUGGGUGGCAAACAGGGACCUGACCAUGUGCACAGACCACUUGUGCAGGCCCUCUCCUGCUGCCUCCAGAACCCCUUGUUGUGUUUUCUUGGUUUUUGUGUGUGUGUGUUUUUCUUUUUUUUUCUUUAUAUCUUCCCCCUCUGAGGUCCCACUGAGUCAUGGGACUUCCUGAUAACUUCCCCCACCACCUUUGGCAGCAGAAAGAGGAAGCCUGGUGGCAGGGAUCCUGGUGACUUCAGGCCUAUAUCCAUUCCAUUUUUCUCUCAGGUCUCCCAGCACAUCACCACUGAGCACUGGCUGCUCAGAUGCCUUCAGGGUGGCGUGCCUUGCAUACCCCUCUGGCUUCCCAUCUGUACAUUUCUGACCCUUUGACCUUGAUCUUCCUCUCUUCUCCUCGUUGUUGUCCUCAUUCGGCUUUCUCAGGGUCUUUCAAAGAACAUAAGAUCAGUGCAAGCAUAUACUGGCACGUUAACAUAACACUGGCCUAGCAUGAACAGUUUUAAAGCAUCUCACCCCUACUAUGCAUAACAACUUUGUGACUUCACCCAGUUGUCUUCUCACCAUAUACCUCCUUUUCCGGCUCAUUUAUAAACAGGUUCAACAGUAGGAGACCAGGAACAAAACCCUAUGGAACAUCACUGGAGACCUCCCUCAGAUGCGAAAACUGACCAUUUAUCCUCCUCUUUUAAUAGGUUAUUCACAUGAAGACUUUUCCUUGUGUCCCAUGGUGUCUUAAUUUCUUUCAGAGCCAUCAGUGAUGGACCUUUAAGUCUUUGGAAAUUUUUGCUGCGAUUCUCAAUGGCUGACCUUGUUGUGGUUUUCAUUUAACUUGCCAGAGUUUAUGAUCCUCUCUAUUUUCCAUUCUUGGACACAGUUCGUAUUUUCUGAAGAGAGUCUUCUGCUUCUAAUAAAUUCCUUUAUCCUGCUGUUAGCCA